Molecule: long non-coding RNA, 1328 nt
Organism: Piliocolobus tephrosceles (Ugandan red Colobus)
Lineage: Eukaryota; Metazoa; Chordata; Mammalia; Primates; Cercopithecidae
Exons: 3
Source: RefSeq, a predicted model, not a curated record
GCUACAGGCUUGAAAAUCCUAGUGCUCAAGGAAGACAUACAAGCCCAAUAAGCUGCCUUGAGCACCAAAUCACUAACAUUUUCUUUAGUUCAGCAUAGUAGUCAGUAGGAAACAGAAGAAAAUAUAAGAUUUUGUGUUUUAAAAGAAGCAAAAGUUGUUAAAGAAGAGGAAAGAAAAAGUAGUCAAGCAGAACCCCUUCCAGGCCUUUCUAACCAACAAAUUUUACAUAUUGUCUCUAGGUGCUCAAUAAUAUGCAAGGAUAUGUUUAAUAUUAUAAAACAUGAAUUCUUUUUUUAAGUAAUUUUAAAGUAAAAUUCAAAAGUAAUGUGUUUUCUAUUAGACCAUUUCAAAAGUACAGAAAUGACACAUAUAAAAAUACUCAUGAGCGCAACGUCUGGAGAUAAGCAUUUCAAAGUCUGUGCCCUUUUUUCUCUACCCCAGGCUGCCUCUUGUGAACCCCUUCACAGGACUGAAAGCAAAAAGCACCCGAGACAAAACAGUCGACAUGGAUUUCCAGAUAACACUGGGUUGUCACAAUAUGCCAAGCACUGGGCCAAAUCCUUGAUAUGCAUCAUGUCAGGAGUUCUCACAGCCACCCAUAUGGUAACCACAGGACCUUUGCCUCACAGCUCACCAGCAGCAAUGCACCAGCCACGCUCUUGUCUUGAUGAGACAGACUAGCUGCGAGGCUCCCCAACGCAACUGAUGAUGAGAGGGAAAUAACUUGGGACCAUUUCUAAGAAAUAGAAGUUGAAAAGUCUGGUGAUGAUGCCUCUGAAGGUGAGAUCACUUAAGAAAGAUAUCAUCUUGGUCUCUAAGCUGGUCUAUCACCCUGGAGGUUGAGGCUGAAACCAAGUGGUAUAAUUCAGAGGAAGAUCAAUUUUGGACACUGCUGUUUUCUCUAUUUUGGAGAUGUGGAAACUGAUGGCUAGGAAAUUUAAGAAGUCGCUCAAGGUCACAGCGUUCAUGAAGAGUAGAGCAGGUGUUGGUGAGGAGUGAAGGUAGAGGUUUGCGGUGGUGAAGGUUCACUGCAGCGGCAGAGUCUCCUCUUGAGGAAAUGAAAGAUGUUGUUCUGUAAGAAGGCGACUGGGGAGCUUGCUCCUCCAUUUGGCCACUGCCUGAUAAUCACUUUUCACCAAAUUUGCUAUUGUUUGGAGUCAAGCACUGAGAGAGGGGGCAGGCAGCAGAGGGGGCAUCUCUCUGUGCCCAUUUGGUUUUAUCAGGACAAUUAGAAAAAUGAAAUGAAGAAGCAACCCCAAAACAGAAUGAAAGUUUACUCCCGUACAGCCUCUGUCCUCCUCACACAAGUUGGAAGGCCUUAGCUGUGA